Molecule: small nuclear RNA, 163 nt
Filed under: Bombyx mandarina (wild silkworm)
Lineage: Eukaryota; Metazoa; Arthropoda; Insecta; Lepidoptera; Bombycidae
Description: U1 spliceosomal RNA
Source: RNAcentral
UUACUUACCUGGCGUAGAGGAUACCGUGAUCAUGCAGGCGGUUCCCCCAGGGCGAGGCUGCUCCAUUGCGCUGCGGAGUAGUUGACCCUUGCGAUUAUUUUUAUUUUUAUCAAUAAAAAAUCAUAAUAAAAAUUGUUUACCCGAAUAAAUAUUUUCUUUAUAC